This is a long non-coding RNA of Uranotaenia lowii, 487 nucleotides long. RefSeq lists it as uncharacterized. The transcript has 3 exons. NCBI's taxonomy places the organism in Eukaryota, Metazoa, Arthropoda, Insecta, Diptera, Culicidae. The record is from RefSeq and is a predicted model, not a curated record.
AAAAAUGACAACCAUGUCGGUUAAUUUUCUCAACGGUCGGGCAAUCACGCGUCGAAGAUUGUGCUUUUGCAGGAAAUAACCGAGGAUCAGGAGGUUCGUGAAUAAAAACGAGUGGCAGCAGAACGAGCGGCUUCAAAUCGCUAAAAAGCGGUCUCCGGAAAUUCGACUUCUGGUGUGGUGAAAAUGGCGCUGCAUGACAAAAAAAAAUGCAAUAACUACUCAAAACGAAAACCCCAGUUAUGAUGCCGGCUGCCGGACACAAUGUAGCGUUUCCUGAGGCCUUCUAAAUUGUCAUCCGAAGCCAAAACACCAGCAGCAAUCUGCUGUAUUUGGGGGAGUAAUUAGGAGAGUUUCUGAUAAGAAAGACUAUUGCCGAGACUACUGAAUUCAUAACUGGCAUCUAGUGCAUGUACGCUCCAACAACUGCGCAAUCGUGAUGAAUCGCUGAAAAAUUUUAGGAAGUGACCCGACUGGAUCCAAAUUUGGG